UCCGAGUUGACCCCGGCAGUCUCCCAUGAGUCCCCGCCAUUACGCGCUGGCAACAUGGAACGAGGGUUGCGCUCGUUGCGGGACUUAACCCAACAUCUCACGACACGAGCUGACGACAGCCAUGCAGCACCUGUGUCGGCUCCCCUUGCGGGGUCGGGCCCCUUUCGGUUUCCUACCACCGACAUGUCAAGCCCAGGUAAGGUUCUUCGCGUAGCCUCGAAUUAAACCACAUGCUCCACCGCUUGUGCGGGCCCCCGUCAAUUCCUUUGAGUUUCACCCUUGCGAGCGUACUCCCCAGGUGGCAUGCUUACCAGGUUACCUACGGCACCGACUCAAAUGAGCCAACACCAAGCAUGCAUCGUUUAGGGCGUGGACUAC
RNAcentral lists this unclassified non-coding RNA (378 nucleotides) under uncultured bacterium. RNAcentral's name for it is "contains 16S-23S intergenic spacer region". The record is from RNAcentral.